RNAcentral lists this long non-coding RNA (332 nucleotides) under Carassius auratus (goldfish). Its description in RNAcentral is "lncRNA (ENSCARG00000060821.1)". Lineage: Eukaryota; Metazoa; Chordata; Actinopteri; Cypriniformes; Cyprinidae. The record is from RNAcentral.
AUGACUUCAAUUUUGGAUGGCACACCUACACACACCCACAGUGACCAGAUCAGAUUCAUUAUGGAUGUCCCUUUUCCAGAGUCCAUCAUCUGUGCUCUUGCUGUUGUGAAAGAUGUGUCCAUCUUGGAGGCUGAGGAGAAAUUCCUUCGAGGACCUGUCAUUGACGCAAGUGAGUGGGAUCACUUUGACCGCAGGAUAAAGAAACAAUUAAAGAAGAGUGGCAAACCAUUGGAGAGUCAUCUACAGGAGUCAUGCUGUUAAGAAAUAACCAAGUCAUGGUGUUAAUAAAUUUUUUUUGUGAACAACAAUAUUGUCUUUCUUUUAAAUGACCC